CCCGCCUGGGGAGUACGAUCGCAAGAUUAAAACUCAAAGGAAUUGACGGGGCCCCGCACAAGCAGCGGAGCAUGCGGCUUAAUUCGACGCAACGCGAAGAACCUUACCAAGGCUUGACAUAUACAGGAAUAUGGCAGAGAUGUCAUAGCCGCAAGGUCUGUAUACAGGUGGUGCAUGGUUGUCGUCAGCUCGUGUCGUGAGAUGUUGGGUUAAGUCCCGCAACGAGCGCAACCCUCGUUCUGUGUUGCCAGCAUUUAGUUGGGGACUCACAGGAGACUGCCGGGGUUAACUCGGAGGAAGGUGGGGAUGACGUCAAAUCAUCAUGCCCCUUAUGUCUUGGGCUGCACGCAUGCUACAAUGGCUGGUACAAACGGCUGCGAUACCGCAAGGUGGAGCGAAUCCGAGAAAGCCAGUCUCAGUUCGGAUUGGGGUCUGCAACUCGACCCCAUGAAGUCGGAGUUGCUAGUAAUCGUAGAUCAGCAACGCUACGGUGAAUACGUUCCCGGGGCUUGUACACACCGCCCGUCACAUCACGA
Molecule: ribosomal RNA, 536 nt
Filed under: uncultured Actinomycetes bacterium
Lineage: Bacteria; Bacillati; Actinomycetota; Actinomycetes
Description: bacterial SSU rRNA
Rfam family: Bacterial small subunit ribosomal RNA
Source: RNAcentral